UCCCUGAAUUCAGAGGAUUUGAUGUCCAGCUCUUUAUGCUGCAUUUGGAAACCUGGUGAGGACUCCUUGCCAUCGGCACAGUUUGAUGUAGCAUGGACUGCUGUUCUGUCAAGGAGGAAUACCCAGUUUUGUUGUGCACCUCAUCGUGACCCCCCACCCAACUGACUGUUGCCAUUUCUGGCCCUGGUUACUAUUCCCAUCUCCUCUCUUCAGAAGUAACGGUUGACAAUGCAUGUGGUAGUAGAGCCCCAGAUGGAAAAAUCAAAAGAAAGAACACACUGAUAACUGUGAUUUUGGUUAAAGUGAAAAAUACACAGGCCUGAAGUCCUACAGUGGUUUACUCAGGGGCUCAACUCUCUGAGCAAGGAUACUAGGCAGAGGAAUAUGACUGCAAGUCUGCUGCAGAGAAGCAAAAGAAAGAUAAUGCUGGAGUCUACAAAUAUUCAGGAAGCUAAAAGCACAAGAGCCCAUUAUGGUGAACUGCAGACACAGCAUACCGCUUGCAGAACUGCCGACCUGGUUGCAACAAAGCAAAUGUCCCAUUAGUCAUCAGAACAGGUUCCAGUCUGCAGUCUGCCUUCGCCUACCUAUCACCACUGCACAUGCGAGGUGAGAGUAUAACUGACACUUCUCAUUAGGUAUAUUUAUAUACUUGCGUAUAGAAGACAUUUCUAAGCUUUUGCACUGGUUGCCCCUGGCUACUGCAGUACUAUGUGAUGAAUCCUGUUCUAAAUACAGGAAGUGCGGCUGUAACAGCAAGCAAUAGAAGCACAACUGAUACGUGGUAUGAUAUCCCUUGCUAGCAUGUAUGGUAAAAAUAAGAAGUUCUGCUUUCAACGUGUCUGAUCGUCUCAUCCGCUUUUAUUCACACAGACCUCACAUUUAUGUCAGUUUGAAUUCUGAUUUGUGCCUUUGAGAGCAACAAUCACAAAUACAUUAUCAUUCAGUAACUAAUUUUUCACAUCUUAUGCACAACUCUUAGACCAGUAGGCUCUGUUAGCUCAGACAUCUACUUGAAAUCAAUAGGUUUAACGACUUUCAUUCUGUGCUUUUGUAAGUCACUAGAAUUUUGAUGAAUUUAAGAUCCGCAUGACAGCAGAGGUCAAAGGGCACAUUUCUCUGUUAGAGUUAUGGUGAGAAGAGAGCUGCCACUGAGUUAAGUGAGACAGAAUUUGGGAUGACGUUGCUCAUAUCUUCUUAAAAUAUCCCUGGGCCUGAGUCAAAAGAUGCUGGACCACUGUGUAAAAGCUGUGUAUUUUCUUUGACUGAUACCGAGUUUAAUUGCAG
Molecule: long non-coding RNA, 1287 nt
Filed under: Struthio camelus australis
Lineage: Eukaryota; Metazoa; Chordata; Aves; Struthioniformes; Struthionidae
Description: lncRNA (ENSSCUG00000004289.1)
Source: RNAcentral